UGAGGAAUAUUGGACAAUGGGCGCAAGCCUGAUCCAGCCAUGCCGCGUGCAGGAUGACGGUCCUAUGGAUUGUAAACUGCUUUUGUACAGGAAGGAACACUGGUUCGUGAACCAGCUUGACGGUACUGUAAGAAUAAGGAUCGGCUAACUCCGUGCCAGCAGCCGCGGUAAUACGGAGGAUCCAAGCGUUAUCCGGAAUCAUUGGGUUUAAAGGGUCCGUAGGCGGUUUAGUAAGUCAGUGGUGAAAGCCCAUCGCUCAACGGUGGAACGGCCAUUGAUACUGCUAAACUUGAAUUAUUAGGAAGUAACUAGAAUAUGUAGUGUAGCGGUGAAAUGCUUAGAGAUUACAUGGAAUACCAAUUGCGAAGGCAGGUUACUACUAAUGGAUUGACGCUGAUGGACGAAAGCGUGGGUAGCGAACAGGAUUAGAUACCCUGGUAGUCCACGCCGUAAACGAUGGAUACUAGCUGUUGGAAGCAAUUUCAGUGGCUAAGCGAAAGUGAUAAGUAUCCCACCUGGGGAGUACGUUCGCAAGAAUG
Molecule: ribosomal RNA, 539 nt
Filed under: uncultured bacterium
Lineage: Bacteria
Description: bacterial SSU rRNA
Rfam family: Bacterial small subunit ribosomal RNA
Source: RNAcentral